CGCAGUCUUCAGAAAUAUCUAAGUGAACACUGUGAUACGUCUGACCUUCAGUCCGAAGCUGAAACUCAGACCAGUCAUAAAAGAAAGCACAAACCAAAUCCCCUGUACACAUAUAGUGACUCAGAGGAUGAGCAGCCCACAAAGAAAUGGUUUCCCCAGGCCCCUCGAGUGAAAAUACCAGACCUGACGAGAGCUGUUAACGAACUCCGUGAGGAGGUCAGAGCCAUCCGCAAUACCGGCUGCAAUGAAUCGGUAGAUGCUGGGGUACUGCCUCUGGAUUUGCCCUUGCACAACAUUGAGGAGCUAA
Non-coding RNA from Maylandia zebra (zebra mbuna), 307 nucleotides. The record is from RefSeq and is a predicted model, not a curated record. NCBI's taxonomy places the organism in Eukaryota, Metazoa, Chordata, Actinopteri, Cichliformes, Cichlidae.